CGAACGCUGGCGGCGUGCUUAACACAUGCAAGUCGAACGGAAAGGCCCUGCUUUUGUGGGGUGCUCGAGUGGCGAACGGGUGAGUAACACGUGAGUAACCUGCCCUUGACUUUGGGAUAACUUCAGGAAACUGGGGCUAAUACCGGAUAGGAGCUGCUGCUGCAUGGUGGGGGUUGGAAAGUUUCGGCGGUUGGGGAUGGACUCGCGGCUUAUCAGCUUGUUGGUGGGGUAGUGGCUUACCAAGGCUUUGACGGGUAGCCGGCCUGAGAGGGUGACCGGCCACAUUGGGACUGAGAUACGGCCCAGACUCCUACGGGAGGCAGCAGUGGGGAAUAUUGCACAAUGGGCGGAAGCCUGAUGCAGCAACGCCGCGUGCGGGAUGACGGCCUUCGGGUUGUAAACCGCUUUCGCCUGUGACGAAGCGUGAGUGACGGUAAUGGGUAAAGAAGCACCGGCUAACUACGUG
This 466-nucleotide ribosomal RNA is filed under the name uncultured bacterium. RNAcentral's name for it is "partial 16S ribosomal RNA". It matches the Rfam family "Bacterial small subunit ribosomal RNA", at positions 30 to 507 of the family's 1533-position model. The record is from RNAcentral.